This 253-nucleotide ribosomal RNA is filed under the name uncultured bacterium. RNAcentral describes it as "partial 16S ribosomal RNA". It matches the Rfam family "Bacterial small subunit ribosomal RNA", at positions 524 to 776 of the family's 1533-position model. The record is from RNAcentral.
UACGUAGGGUGCGAGCGUUAAUCGGAAUUACUGGGCGUAAAGCGUGCGCAGGCGGUUUUGUAAGUCAGAUGUGAAAUCCCCGGGCUUAACCUGGGAACUGCGUUUGAAACUACAAGGCUAGAGUGUAGCAGAGGGGGGUGGAAUUCCACGUGUAGCAGUGAAAUGCGUAGAGAUGCGGAGGAACACCGAUGGCGAAGGCAGCCCCCUGGGCCAAUACUGACGCUCAGGCACGAAAGCGUGGGGAGCAAACAGG